This 650-nucleotide ribosomal RNA is filed under the name uncultured bacterium. RNAcentral's name for it is "bacterial SSU rRNA". It matches the Rfam family "Bacterial small subunit ribosomal RNA", at positions 79 to 743 of the family's 1533-position model. The record is from RNAcentral.
UUGCUUGGUCUGAUCAGUGGCGAACGGGUGAGUAACACGUGAGUAACCUGCCCCAGACUCUGGGAUAACCCCGGGAAACCGGAGCUAAUACCGGAUAUGACACCAACGGGCAUCCGUAUGGUGUGGAAAGUUUUUCGGUCUGGGAUGGACUCGCGGCCUAUCAGCUUGUUGGUGAGGUAGUGGCUCACCAAGGCGACGACGGGUAGCCGGCCUGAGAGGGCGACCGGCCACACUGGGACUGAGACACGGCCCAGACUCCUACGGGAGGCAGCAGUGGGGAAUAUUGCACAAUGGGCGGAAGCCUGAUGCAGCGACGCCGCGUGAGGGAUGACGGCCUUCGGGUUGUAAACCUCUUUCAGCAGGGAAGAAGCGCAAGUGACGGUACCUGCAGAAGAAGCACCGGCUAACUACGUGCCAGCAGCCGCGGUAAUACGUAGGGUGCGAGCGUUGUCCGGAAUUAUUGGGCGUAAAGAGCUUGUAGGUGGUUUGUCGCGUCUGCUGUGAAAAUCCGAGGCUCAACCUCGGACUUGCAGUGGGUACGGGCAGACUAGAGUGUGGUAGGGGAGACUGGAAUUCCUGGUGUAGCGGUGGAAUGCGCAGAUAUCAGGAGGAACACCGAUGGCGAAGGCAGGUCUCUGGGCCAUUACUGA